UGUCUCAGAUACUCCAAGAGUCCUAAGAAUACGAUGUUCAAGUUUAUAAUCAUUAACAUCAAACAAGGAUAGAUAAUGAUGCAGGUUUUGAGGAUGGAAUAAGUCAUAGAAUAGAGGCCUCAAUGACCUUCUAGGUGGCUUAAUUUUGCUGGGUUCUGCUUUUUAAUCCAUGUUUAUUCUUGGCACCUUCAUUUGGAGUCCUUUAACGCAUAAUAAGCCUGAAGACCUGGCUUGACAAUUUAUUUUGGGUGUGUAUGUCUCCUUUUUCCUUUUCCUCACAUGGGUCCUUCAUGAAUUGUCUAAGCUCAUUCUCUUAGUUCACUAUCGGUGUAUAUUUCUCAUGUCUUAUAUUUUAUUAUAUUUCAAGAUAAUGUAGAUUUCUCAGUUGUUUCACUGCAAACAAAGUCUAUCUGUUCAUACUGUUAGCCUGUAACUCUGUAUUCCUUAUCCGCGAAAUUUAUCACCAACUUGGAACUGUAUUAUUGAUUGUAAACAUGGACCUUGUCUCCUUGCAGGCAAUACGAACAGGCUGGGUUCAUCCAAAUAUCAAUCUUGAAAAUCCAGACAAUGGCGUGGAUAUAAAUAUGCUGGUUGGACCAAAGAAAGAAAAACUGGAUAUCAAGGUGGCAUUGUCCAACUCAUUUGGAUUUGGUGGCCACAAUUCAUCAAUCUUAUUUGCUCCGUACAAGUAGAUCAUUUUUGUGCUCGAGUUGGCAAAGAAUUUCUGCAGAAGCUAAUAAGAGUACACUUUUUACUCUACUGUCGGUUUCCCAUCUCUUCACCGACCCCUGUAUGAAUCGUGCUUUGCGGACAUAAUAGUUACCUCCAUCACAUAAUCGACUUUCUUGCCGCUGCAGUUACUUGGGCAUUUCACAAUGUCAAAUCUUGUGCUCAAUGGGAUGAUUGCUCGACCCUAAUGCGAAAGUGCCUUGAAAUGAAGUGGGACAAAAACUUGGUAUUUUCGCCUGGUGAUAUAAUAUGGUCUCUUGAAACAGCUAACCCUUUUGUUUCCAGUGAGCUGUUUCUAAUGUACAAUGUACCAUUACAGUGAUGAUUCUGUGAUAAUUUUGACAUGUAUUUUACCUUUACAAGAAUUGCAUUUCGAUCC
Molecule: long non-coding RNA, 1108 nt
Organism: Olea europaea var. sylvestris
Lineage: Eukaryota; Viridiplantae; Streptophyta; Magnoliopsida; Lamiales; Oleaceae
Exons: 3
Source: RefSeq, a predicted model, not a curated record